GAUGAACGUUGGCGGCGUGCCUAAUACAUGCAAGUCGAACGAAGACUGUAGUAAUACUGUCUUAGUGGCGAACGGGUGAGUAACGCGUGGGUGACCUGCCCCGAAGUGUGGGAUAACAGUCCGAAAGGAUUGCUAAUACUGCAUAAUAUCCAAGAGAUUAGAUGCUUUUGGAUUAAAGGAGUAAUUCGCUUCGGGAGGGGCCCGCGUCCCAUCAGCUAGUUGGUAAGGUAAUGGCUUACCAAGGCGAUGACGGGUAGGGGACCUGAGAGGGUGGCCCCCCACAAUGGAACUGAAACACGGUCCAUACACCUACGGGUGGCAGCAGUAGGGAAUAUUAGUAAUGGGCGAAAGCCUGAACUAGCAACGCCGCGUGUGCGAAGAAGGCCUUGGGUCGUAAAGCACUUUUUGAGAGGAUGAGGAAGGACGGUACUCUCAGAAUAAGUCUCGGCUAACUACGUGCCAGCAGCCGCGGUAAGCACGAGAGUA
RNAcentral lists this ribosomal RNA (486 nucleotides) under uncultured bacterium. Its description in RNAcentral is "bacterial SSU rRNA". It matches the Rfam family "Bacterial small subunit ribosomal RNA", at positions 28 to 534 of the family's 1533-position model. The record is from RNAcentral.